This 5878-nucleotide long non-coding RNA is filed under the name Sus scrofa (pig). Its description in RNAcentral is "lncRNA (ENSSSCG00015039586.1)". Lineage: Eukaryota; Metazoa; Chordata; Mammalia; Artiodactyla; Suidae. The record is from RNAcentral.
UUUUUUUUUUUUUUUUUGGUCUUUUUAGGGCCACAUCUGUGGCAUAUGGAAGUUCCCAGGUUAGGGGUGGAAUCGGAGCUAUACUGAAUCACCAGAUCCAAGCUGUGUCUGCGACCCACACCACUGCUCACGUCAAUGCCAGGUUUUUAACCCACUGAGCGAGGUCAGGGAUCAAACCCACAUCCUCAUGGGUAUUAUCAGGUUUGUUACUGCUGAGCCAGAAUGGGAACUCCCAAAAUUCUAUUUCUUAAGCUGAAUAGUGAUGCCAGUGUGGUUCACCUUAUAAUAGCCCAUGAAGCUACAAUUUUUGCAUAGUUUUUUUUUGCGUAUGUGUUAUAUUUUAUAGGAAACGAAAGUUAAAAACAAUUAUAUACAUUUAAAAUAUCAUAAUUGAUAUAGGUGGUUGUAAGGAGAAUUUUCAGGGGCUGAAAGAAAAACUUUCCCUAGUGUGGCAGAGACAGACAAGCAAGGAGAUAAAAGAAGCAUCCCAGACAGAGGAGAUGGCAGGAGCAAAGGCCCUGAGGUGGAAGGGGCAUUGAUAAACACAGUACCUGCCAUAGAACCUGGAGGUGAAGGGUAUAGCUUUCAGCAAAUGCUUAUUACACUGAGAUUCAUAUACUAGGUACAUACAUUUCCAUUGCUGCUCUACCAGUUCGCCACAAACUUAGUCACUGAAAACAACAGAAAACUAUAUUAUGGUUCUACAGGUUAGAAGUUCAACCCAGGUCCCAUGGGUUAAAAUUUAGGGUUACGUUCCUUCCAGAUGCUCUAGGGUACAAUCCAUUUCCUUGUCCUUCCUGGCUUCUAGAGGCCCCUACAUUCCUUGGCCUGGGACCCUCUUCUUCUGACUUCAAAGCCAACAGAGGAGGCCCGAGUCCUUCUUACAUGGCACCAAAGAGGACCUUCUCCUGGGCCUCUCUCUUCCACAAGGGAGGAUGCUAAUGAUUACAUUGGACCAGAUAAUCCAGGAUAAUCUUCCCGGUUUAAGGUCAGCUGAUUAGCAAACAUAAUUCCACCUGGAACUGCAAGUCCCCUUUUCCUAUAAAAUACAACUCAUUCACAGAUUCUAGGGAUCAGAAUUUGGACAUUUUGGGGAGCUCUUAUUCUGUUUACCACACUGAGCAAGUGUUUACUGAGAAACUAUGAGUGCCAAACUCUGUCUGGGUACUAGGAUGUAGAACAGGAUGGAUGGAUAAGGUCCUUGCUUAGAAAGCUUGCAACUAAAGAGAGGGAAGACAGCAUCUAAAGAGGUGAACACAUGUACAGAUAGUCCCGACUGGCUCGAAAUCAAAACGAGAAGAAGAGGGAUAAAACCAGUCCUGCCACGGGCUUCAAAGAUACUAUAUGUGAACUUUCUCUUCCCAACAAGUGGAAAUAAUCUCAACAAGUGGAAAUAAAGCCCAGUGUCUCCAUUUAUCUGAUCCACAGCAUUACUCUGUUUCCAGCUGGUUUUUUAUAUUUAAAAAAAAAAAACCUAAAAAUUGACUUCAGUUAUUUUUUUUAAAGUCUCCGUGUGCUUAUCUCUGGAAUCCAAUGUGGACUGAUUUUUUUUUUUAAAUAUAUUCUAAAGCAUUCCUAAUAGAAAACUUUUCUGGUCUGGUUUCCAAUGGAAAUUUAUUAUUUGAGGGCAGGCUUUUAAACAUGUCACUCUUUGCCAGCAUGCCUCAGGGUACAAGUACAAUAAAUAAAGGGUAUAUUGAAAGAGAAUAUUUCAAAUAACUAGCAGCAUCAUUAAAACAUCAAAUUAAAUGAACUGAAAACAAACAGAUUCUAGUUUCCUUGUAUAAUCAAAUAUUCUUCAUUAAGGGAUCUCAAGUGGAUUGUAAUACCAACUAUGCCAGCUGUAGCUUCCCAGUUAAAUACUCAUCUUACUGGGGGGAAAAAAAAGAAAAGAAGAAAAAUAGUGGAGGAAAGAGGUGAAAAAUACCUCAGCCCCAGCUGACACCUCAAAUUUACCAUAGUCUGUCCAAGGUUUUAUAAGAUCUCUAAAGGUAAAGAUGGGUCUUCAAUUCAAAUCCUAAAUCAGGAAUUGUGUGAUGAGAACAGUCCACAACCAUCAAUAUUUUCCAAGCUCUUUUUAAGAAGAGAAAUGCCAGAGUUCCUGCUGUGUUGCAGUAAGUUAAGAAUCCCACUGCAGCAACUCAGUGGUUGCAGAGGCAUGGGUUCCAUCCCUGGCCUGGUGCAGUGGGUUAAAGGAUACGGCAUUGAUGCAGCUGUAGCUCAGAUUCAGUUGCUGGCCCGGGAACCUCCACAUGCCUCAGGUAUGGCCAUAAAAUUUAAAAAAAAAGAAAAAAAAGGAAGGAAGGAAGAGAAAUGCUUCCCCACUCAGUAUCUUCAGAGACUCACCAAGCAGCCUAAGGUCUCAGUGGUAGCCUUGGCAUUUCGGGUGGGGCAGUUGACCUAUGCAUGCCACAACCUUUAGCAUUCCUGUCCCCUCUCCCUACGUACACACACACACACACACACACACACACACUAAACACCAGGCACUGGGCAAGCAAAAAGGACUCCAAAUUCUCUGCUGGGGUGGGAGGUACUACCCCACUCCCAACAAAAGGCCUUCCCAGCAUCCUCUACCCAUGGUGAGUUCUCCUUGCCCCCGUAGCACCGUAGCAUGCACUGCUCAUGAGAAAUGGCACGUAAGCACGACUGCAGACUGCCAGCUUGGUGUAGACACACCUGGAUGCCUGUGGUUGGAUGCCCAUCAAGCUCUGUGAUGACACUCCCAGCCCAGACCUGAGGAUAGGGUGGGAUGUCAGCCAAUGGCCCAAAGGGACCUGGGGAGCAAGGCCCUAAGAGCACAGGCCAGGAGUCAAGGGACCAGAGUUUAAAAUACAGGCUCUGCCACUUCCUUCUGUGUGAGCUUAGGCGGUUGCUUUACCCCGAUGCCUCAAUUUAUCCAUCUAAAAGUAAAGUAAAAUCUCCAUUUAUAGCUCCUAGGCCAUUAGAAAACUAAAUGAAAUAAUAUAUGUAAAGCACUUAGCAAUAUGCCUGGCACUUAGCAAGUGCUCACUAAAGACUGAUUAUCAUUGUUUUCAUUGCCAGUGAUGAAAAUGAAAUGGUGCUUCAAAAGUGACAAAUUAGGUGAGUUCCUGUUUAUUCCCUAUGCAGUAGGUACUCGAUAUGCUUCUUUUUUUCCCCUUGGUCUUCCUUUCUUCCUAGCAAGGAAAUCAUUCCUAAGCCCCUAUUCACUUCUUCUUGUAAUUUACUGGAAUUCUGUUCCCAUGCUGAUGGAACAUGAAACAAAAAGGAUCACAUAGCAUUGGCCCAGGAAAAGCAGCAUACAAAGGUGGCAGCAGUGCCUGGAGGCGUGAUCCACAGACACUAGGUUCUCUGUGGUCCCCUGAAUCUCUAUUAAUGGCAUCACCAUCCAUCGUUUUGCAUAAGCCUAAAGCCUGAGAAUCAUUCUUGGUUUUUCUCUUGUCCCCUCUCCCAUCCACACACUCCAAAUCUCAUCCAUAAACAAACACUACCUCCCAAAUGUGUCUUGAGUCUAUCAUUUCUCUCCCACUCCACAGCCACUAUUUGGUCCAAACCACCAUCAUUUCCAACCUUAAAUUUUGCAGUAGUUUCUUUUUCAAAAAAAAAAAAAUUAAAGUAUGGUUGGCUUACAAUGUUGUGCUAAUUUCUGCUGCACAGCAAAGUGACUAUCUUUUUCUAUUACAGUUUAUCCCAGGAGAUCUGGUAAGAGAUGUAAGUCAGAAAGAGAAAGACAAAUGCCAUAUGAUAUCAUUUAUAUGCAGAAUCUAAAAUAAGGCACAAAUGAAUCUAUCUAUAAAACAGAAACAAACAGACAGAGAGAACAGACUUGUGAGCACGAUAUUUCUCUUGAUUAAUCCACACAGCUCAUUCUCCCAUAAGGCAACCACAAUAAUCCUUUAAAAAUCAGAUCAGGGAGUUCUCGUCAUGGCUCAGUGGUUAACGAAUCUGACUGGGAACCAUGAGGUUGCGGGUUCAAUCCCUGGCCUUGCUCAGUGGGUUAAGGAUCUGGCGUUGCCAUGAGCUGAGGUGUAGGUCACAGACACAGCUCGGAUCCCACGUUGCUAUGGCUCUGGUGUAGGCCGGCAACUACCGCUCCAAUUUGACCCCUAGCCUGGGAACAUCCAUAUGCCGCGAGAGCGGCCCAAGAAAUGGUAAAAAGACCAGAGGGGGGAGAAAAAAUCAGAUCAGGCCCUUCAUUCUCCCAUUGAGAAAUCUUGCAGUGCCUCGUCAUUGUCCUUAGAAUAAAAUCCCAACCUUGGAGUUCCUGUUGUGGCUCAGUGGGUUAAGAACCUGACAUCGUGUUCCUGAGGAGGCAGGUUUGAUCCGUGGCCUUGCUCAUGAGUUAAGGAUGUGGUGUUGCCACGAGGUACAAUGUAGGUCACAGAUGAAGCUCAGAUCUGGUGUGGCUGUGGCUGUGGUUGCAGUUCUGGUUCGACUCCUGACCCAGGAACUUCCAUGUGCUGUGGGUGCAGCCGUAAAAAGGAAAGAAAGGUCCCAGUCUAGCUCCCAUGUGCCUCUCUGACCUUGUCCUUAGAUACAGUGUCCCCCUAUGCUUACUUGCUCCAGACACACUGUUCUUCUCUUCAAUCCACAAAGGCUCUGCUGUUCUCUCUGCCUGGAACUCUCUGCACCCAGACUGUUGCAUGUCUGCCCCCUUUGUAUCACCUGGGUCUCAACUUGAAUGUUGCCUCCUGAGAAUGGCUUGUUCUCUACUGUCUUCACAGCAUCCAGAAGGAUGCUUGGCACGUGGUAAGCACUCCAUGGAUGUUUACAGAAGAAUGAAUGAAUGAGCAGCCAAAACACCCAGGGACAAUUUUUUACCGGCUGACAACCACCAUACCCUAAGUGAAGGGAGCAAAGAUCAUUCUUUCUAUGGAGGCUUUCCAUGCACUUUAGGGAGAGAUAAAUCCAUCCCCUCAAAACACCCAGCCAACGAUGCCAGAGAAAAGCAGAAAGCAUGACUCCUCAGAGAAACAAUGAGCCAGAGGCAUUCUUCUUCAAGCAGAUGAGGAGCCAUGCCAAAUGCCUUCAAUUGCUUUUCAAGUUAAGCAACCACACCAAUGACAACAGCCAAAGAAAAUGCUACAGCCCAUACCAAAAGAGGAUCUGCAGCUUGGGCUGACCUUUCAACACAAAUUGGAUUACUCUGUCCUUCCUGGAAAUGCAUGGUCUGGUCACAUAAUGGGACACUAUUCGAUUAGCACGGUUCCUGGUUGCUCUGAAACCUAUAGGAGAAGUGGUGACGUUUAGAGGGAGCCUCAUGACACAAUGGAAUCUGGCUCCUGCUCCCCAAACUCCCCCUAAGCUCAUCUGGCCCAGAAAAACAACUUAAGGACAUUCUUGAUCACUGGACAGAAAUACUUCUCUCUUGGUCAACGUGUUAACCCCUCUGGGAGGGAUUUUCCUGGGAGGUUUAUGUGAGAUCAGAGUGUUUCUCACUGAAUGUAUGUAAUCAACAUUCAAUCAGUGAAUUAUUUUAAUCAUAUUUUUAACAAAUGGCAUCCCUAUAGAGGUAAUAAUUGCAGACCUGGAAGACCAUUAGAUAUGUGGGAAGAAGAAAUGGCAGAGAAGGAGGUGGAGGAUGCGUGGGGAAGUGGACAGAAGGCAGCAGAGGACUCAAAAGAGAAAGCAAAAGCAGAGUGGGGUCCCUUAAAGACUUGACCCACGGCCCCAGCAGAUCAUUGUCGUCCUAAGGUCCCUCCACCUCUUCGAGCACUAGACCAUCAGCUCUUCAAAAGCCAAACAAUACCUAAUUCACUGCUCUAUCUUUUCUUAUGCAGGGAUGAGCUCUGAACCUCUUGAAUGAAACAGAAAUCUGAAUGAAAUCUGAAUGAAACAGAACAGAGAUAAGAAUUUAGCAUUUUAUGGGAAUUUUGGAUUGCCAGAGCUCAGUUAA